Molecule: transfer RNA, 70 nt
Filed under: Cavia porcellus (domestic guinea pig)
Lineage: Eukaryota; Metazoa; Chordata; Mammalia; Rodentia; Caviidae
Rfam family: tRNA
About the family: Transfer RNA (tRNA) molecules are approximately 80 nucleotides in length. Their secondary structure includes four short double-helical elements and three loops (D, anti-codon, and T loops).
Source: Rfam by way of RNAcentral
GGGGAUUUAGCUCAGUGGCAUAAGCACCUGCCUGCCAAGCACGAGGUCAUGGGUUCGAUCCCCACUACCA